AUACGGAGGGUGCAAGCGUUAUCCGGAAUCAUUGGGUUUAAAGGGUCCGUAGGCGGACUAUUAAGUCAGAGGUGAAAUCCCACAGCUCAACUGUGGAACUGCCUUUGAUACUGGUAGUCUUGAGUUAUAUGGAAGUAGAUAGAAUGUGUAGUGUAGCGGUGAAAUGCAUAGAUAUUACACAGAAUACCGAUUGCGAAGGCAGUCUACUACGUAUAUACUGACGCUAAGGGACGAAAGCGUGGGGAGCGAACAGGAUUAGAUACCCCGGUAGUCC
RNAcentral lists this ribosomal RNA (274 nucleotides) under uncultured bacterium. RNAcentral's name for it is "partial 16S ribosomal RNA". It matches the Rfam family "Bacterial small subunit ribosomal RNA", at positions 523 to 796 of the family's 1533-position model. The record is from RNAcentral.